GAUGAACGCUGGCGGCGUGCCUAAUACAUGCAAGUCGAGCGAACGGACGAGAAGCUUGCUUCUCUGAGGUUAGCGGCGGACGGGUGAGUAACACGUGGAUAACCUACCUAUAAGACUGGGAUAACUUCGGGAAACCGGAGCUAAUACCGGAUAAUAUUUUGAACCGCAUGGUUCAAAAGUGAAAGACGGUCUUGCUGUCACUUAUAGAUGGAUCCGCGCUGCAUUAGCUAGUUGGUAAGGUAACGGAUUACCAAGGCAACGAUGCAUAGCCGACCUGAGAGGGUGAUCGGCCACCCUGGAACUGAGACACGGUCCACACUCCGACGGGAGGCAGCAGUAGGGAAUCUUCCGCAAUGGGCGAAAGCCUGACGGAGCAAAGCCGCGGGAGUGCUGAAGGUGUUAGGAUCGUAAAACUCUGUUAUUAGGGAAGAACAUAUGUGUAAGUAACUGUGCACAUCUUGACGGUACCUAAUCAGAAAGCCACGGCUAACUACGUG
This 497-nucleotide ribosomal RNA is filed under the name uncultured bacterium. Its description in RNAcentral is "partial 16S ribosomal RNA". It matches the Rfam family "Bacterial small subunit ribosomal RNA", at positions 28 to 507 of the family's 1533-position model. The record is from RNAcentral.